Molecule: ribosomal RNA, 600 nt
Filed under: Triticum aestivum (bread wheat)
Lineage: Eukaryota; Viridiplantae; Streptophyta; Magnoliopsida; Poales; Poaceae
Description: partial small subunit ribosomal RNA
Source: RNAcentral
AUGACUGAAGCCCUAUCCCUUGUUAGUUGGAAUGUCAGAGGUCUAAAUGACAAGGCCCGUCGCGCCUCUGUUCGCGCGUUUUUUCAUCAACUGUCUUGUCCUAUAGUUUGUCUACAGGAAACAAAGUUGUCUGGCAUCAACGAUGUAGAUCGUAUAGAAAUUGUGGGUGCUGCUUUUGACCAACACAUAUGUUUACCUGCGGAGGGUACUCGCGGUGGUGUUAUGCUAUCUUGGAGCUCCAGCCGUUUUGCUGCUAGCUCAAUCGUUGUGCGUGGCUUCUCUAUCACGGCGACCUUCACAGCCGUGGGGGAGGGCACACCCUGGACUCUUACUACUGUAUAUGGCCCUCAUGACACCGCGCGAAAGCAAGCCUUCCUGAAUGAACUAGCAGACAUCCACAACUCCUUGGCUGGGCCCUGGGUUUUGAUUGGAGAUUUCAAUCUCAUCACUAACCCGCAAGACAAGAAUAACAAUAGAAUUAGUCGUAGGUGGAUGAAUAAGUUCCGGGACACUCUUAAUAGAUCCAGCCUGCAUGAAUUGCCCCUUAUUGGUAGGAGAUUCACCUGGAGUAAUGAGCAAGCGCAGCCCACGCUUGUAUGA